UCGGCUGCUGGACUGGAGUGUGCCUCCUAGUAGACUCUAAUGUGCCAGCCUCGGGAUCUGAAAUGAACUGAAUGUCUGGAGAUGCUACCUUGAGAUCAUGGAGGGGUGACGAUGGUCCUUCUUCCUCAGCUCUAUCCUCAGCUCUCUCUUCUACACCUUUAGUCCAACCACCAUCUGUCUUAGUAAAUCCCAUGCGGUGCAAAGUAUGUUGGUUGAUGGUGUCAGAGUGAGAAAGCCUAGCUGCAGCCUCCCCCAAAACUAACUCCAAACCUCCUAAAUACCAAAGUGAGGGCCAUACCGAAAGGCAGAUGUGCCUUGGAUCUAUUCAGGGUUUUCCUCAUAGCUUCUAUCAUUAAUGCUAGG
Molecule: long non-coding RNA, 363 nt
Filed under: Elaeis guineensis (African oil palm)
Lineage: Eukaryota; Viridiplantae; Streptophyta; Magnoliopsida; Arecales; Arecaceae
Description: long non-coding RNA (EGUI_LNC074793)
Source: RNAcentral